UAAGCCUCCAGAUAUGCAGCUCACCAUAGC
Molecule: non-coding RNA, 30 nt
Filed under: Homo sapiens (human)
Lineage: Eukaryota; Metazoa; Chordata; Mammalia; Primates; Hominidae
Source: RNAcentral